GACGAACGCUGGCGGCGUGCUUAACACAUGCAAGUCGAACGGAAAGGCCCUGCUUUUGUGGGGUGCUCGAGUUGCGAACGGGUGAGUAACACGUGAGUAACCUGCCCUUGACUUUGGGAUAACUUCAGGAAACUGGGUCUAAUACCGGAUAGGAGCUCCUGCUGCAUGGUGGGGGUUGGAAAGUUUCGGCGGUUGGGGAUGGACUCGCGGCUUAUCAGCUUGUUGGUUGGGUAGUGGCUUACCAAGGCUUUGACGGGUAGCCGGCCUGAGAGGGUGACCGGCCACAUUGGGACUGAGCUAAGGCCCAGACUCCUACGGGAGGCAGCAGUGGGGAAUAUUGCACAAUGGGCGGAAGCAUGAUGCAGCCAAGCCGCGUGCGGGAUGACGGCAUGCGGGUUGUAAACCGAUUCCGCCUGUCACGAAGCGUGAGUGACGGUAAUGGGUAAAGAAGCACCGGCUAACUACGUG
This 468-nucleotide ribosomal RNA is filed under the name uncultured bacterium. RNAcentral describes it as "partial 16S ribosomal RNA". It matches the Rfam family "Bacterial small subunit ribosomal RNA", at positions 28 to 507 of the family's 1533-position model. The record is from RNAcentral.